CCUACGGGAGGCAGCAGUGAGGAAUAUUGGUCAAUGGACGAGAGUCUGAACCAGCCAAGUAGCGUGAAGGAUGACUGCCCUAUGGGUUGUAAACUUCUUUUAUAUGGGAAUAAAAUGUUCCACGUGUGGGAUUUUGUAUGUACCAUAUGAAUAAGGAUCGGCUAACUCCGUGCCAGCAGCCGCGGUAAUACGGAGGAUCCGAGCGUUAUCCGGAUUUAUUGGGGUUGAAGGGAGCGUAGGUGGAUUGUUAAGUCAGUUGUGAAAGUUUGCGGCUCAACCGUAAAAUUGCAGUUGAAACUGGCAGUCUUGAGUACAGUAGAGGUGAGCGGAAUUCGUUGUGUAGCGGUGAAAUGCUUAGAUAUCACGAAGAACUCCGAUUGCGAAGGCAGUUCACUGGACUGCAACUGACACUGAGGCUCGAAAGUGUGGGUAUCAAACAGGAUUAGAUACCCCGGUAGUC
RNAcentral lists this ribosomal RNA (460 nucleotides) under uncultured bacterium. RNAcentral's name for it is "partial 16S ribosomal RNA". It matches the Rfam family "Bacterial small subunit ribosomal RNA", at positions 338 to 795 of the family's 1533-position model. The record is from RNAcentral.